Molecule: ribosomal RNA, 198 nt
Filed under: uncultured bacterium
Lineage: Bacteria
Description: partial 16S ribosomal RNA
Rfam family: Bacterial small subunit ribosomal RNA
Source: RNAcentral
ACGCUCGACACCUACGGGAGACAGCAGUGGGGAAUAUUGCACAAUGGGGGAAACCCUGAUGCAGCGACGCCGCGUGGAGGAAGAAGGUCUUCGGAUUGUAAACUCCUGUUGUUGGGGAAAAAGAGGAUGGUACCCAACAAGGAAGUGACGGCUAACUACGUGCCAGCACGCCGACGUAUCUGAGGCGGCGUGACGAGC